Long non-coding RNA from Salvia splendens (bonfire salvia), 419 nucleotides. RefSeq lists it as uncharacterized. The record is from RefSeq and is a predicted model, not a curated record. Lineage: Eukaryota; Viridiplantae; Streptophyta; Magnoliopsida; Lamiales; Lamiaceae. The transcript has 3 exons.
CUCUCUCUCUCUCUCUAUUUUGUUUGAAAGUGAUCUCAUAUUAGAAAGUGGAAAUGGUGAAGAUUAUCGAAAGCAUGAAGAGAGGUUUUCAUAAUUUUGUGGAAAUUGUAUCUUGUGGCACCAAAGGUGUAAAGGAAAAUGAUGUAAAAACACCACAGCUCAAAGCAGAGAUUAAUUAUGCACCGAAUAAACCAUCCGCAGAUGUUAAUUCCAGUGCCCGUGGGAUUGAAUCGCAUUAGAAGAUGAUAUCCAUCAAGAAAAAAAAACACUAUUUUCCCCCUCGAUUGUUAAUUUCUUAGUUGUGCUAUAAUAUGUAUAUGUUUUAGCCAUAUUUGUUUCGUUUAUUCAAGUGUUUUUAUGUAAAAUUUCCGGAUUUGGAACUCAGUAGAAGUUUGUAAUAAAUGAGUUUGAUCUUUAAA